This 1518-nucleotide ribosomal RNA is filed under the name Triticum aestivum (bread wheat). RNAcentral describes it as "partial small subunit ribosomal RNA". Lineage: Eukaryota; Viridiplantae; Streptophyta; Magnoliopsida; Poales; Poaceae. The record is from RNAcentral.
AGGUGGGAGGCGGGAGGCGACGGAUUCCAGUUCCUAGCAGAUCCGGUUCACAGGUUUCCCUUGCCGGAUCUCGCCGCCGGCGGCUCUUUACUGCGCAGUGAAGCCAAGCAAGCUGCGGUACACACGCCCGCCGAAUCCAGCAUUUGUGAUGUGGGUGAUGCGGCGCCGACACCUGACAGUACAACUAUAUUUGAACAUCGCUUGCAAUGGGAUGGCCCUGUCGGCGCCGAACUCAGAGCAAUCGAUGGGCAAGGACGAUCCUCAGCCGCCUGGCUGGACCAAGAGAAUGAGUGCCUUGAAAAAACAUUGAGAAGAUAUGUAGUUCCUGCGGUAGGAAGCCACUUUAAUUCACUUGGAGAAGCAUAUGUCUAUUACAAUCUGUAUUCUAGGGACACUGGGUUUGGAAUAACGUACGGCAAGAGCAGGCUUAAUGUUGAAAGGAUAAAUGCAUGCAGGAGAUACUAUGUGGCUGCUCCUGCUCGGGAAGCAAGUGAGAACUAUGAAGAGAGACGUACAAAGAUACUAAUGCGCGUAAUGAAAAUGAACACACCACUGGAGUUGCAUGCUAGCGAUAUGUACACACGAGCCAUGUUUGAAAAGUUUGGCGAAAUUAUGUAUGAAGCAGGGCAGUACAAAGUAGAGGAGGCGGGGGCUCUGUUAGCCAUGUGUCUUCCAGCUCUAGCUCGAGUGCCCUUGCAGUCAGCGAUGAGCACGACCUGCAUCUUCAGUUCUUGCCAUCUGAUGAUCAUGUCGCUGGCGGCAGUGCUCCAGGGCAUGCGGCUUUCGUGCAGGUCGGUGAUUGAGGAUACCGUGUACGGGAGGGCUGAUGGUGUAUCGAUGGCAGAUGAAGGUUGCGAAGAUGAGUCACAAGUCCAGUCCCGUUCUUCAACCGUGGAAGAGGUGGGUACCUAUGAUCCAGAAAAUCAGAGCUACGCCGGCGGUGAUAACUGGUCCAAGACAGGAAGCUACUCCGAGUUAAGGACCAAGGUUGCUGAUGGAUCCAUCAGCGGCGUCGAUGAUGGUCUGCGUAUUAACUUUGAUCAGAACCUGUAUCUAAAGAAACUGAGUAGAGGGUCGCCUUUUAUGAUGGAAUUUGCAGCAGGUGAGCCUUGCAUCCACUACUUAGAUGAGUUUAGUCACCGCAUUAUGUGGGGCAACACAGUUACGCUCUACAACCAUAAUGUUCGUAGACUGCAAAAGAUCAUCUGCAGCACCACCACGCCCGAUCGCUACUAUGUGUGCCACAUGACAGAGACAUUUGCAACACACGGCAAAAGAAUGUACUUUAGCAUUCCCUUUUCUACUGGUUCCCUUUUCCCACACAUGUAUGUUGACCAUGGUGAACUGCCAAUCACUACUGAAGAUAGAACUACCGCUGUCACAACACGCUUUAUCAAGGGUGUUGACAAAAGGGCCACCAUCACUAAAGACUGGAGCGACUUCUUCCAUCAGGCACAGAUGAAAAAAGGGAAAGCGUAUGCUUUCGGCUUCAAAUGCACUUCCAAGGGACUGCGCCUG